CCUACGGGUGGCUGCAGUGGGGAAUAUUGGACAAUGGGCGAAAGCCUGAUCCAGCCAUGCCGCGUGUGUGAAGAAGGCCUUCGGGUUGUAAAGCACUUUCAGUGGGGAAGAAAGCCUUGGGGCUAAUACCCUCGAGGAAGGACAUCACCCACAGAAGAAGCACCGGCUAACUCCGUGCCAGCAGCCGCGGUAAUACGGAGGGUGCGAGCGUUAAUCGGAAUUACUGGGCGUAAAGCGCGCGUAGGCGGUCUGAUAAGCCGGUUGUGAAAGCCCCGGGCUCAACCUGGGAACGGCAUCCGGAACUGUCAGGCUAGAGUGCAGGAGAGGAAGGUAGAAUUCCGGUGUAGCGGUGAAAUGCGUAGAGAUCGGGAGGAAUACCAGUGGCGAAGGCGGCCUUCUGGACUGACACUGACGCUGAGGUGCGAAAGCGUGGGUAGCAAACAGGAUUAGAUACCCUUGUAGUC
Molecule: ribosomal RNA, 464 nt
Filed under: Vreelandella stevensii
Lineage: Bacteria; Pseudomonadati; Pseudomonadota; Gammaproteobacteria; Oceanospirillales; Halomonadaceae
Description: partial 16S ribosomal RNA
Rfam family: Bacterial small subunit ribosomal RNA
Source: RNAcentral